This 479-nucleotide ribosomal RNA is filed under the name uncultured bacterium. RNAcentral describes it as "bacterial SSU rRNA". It matches the Rfam family "Bacterial small subunit ribosomal RNA", at positions 26 to 518 of the family's 1533-position model. The record is from RNAcentral.
GCUAGGACGAACGCUGGCGGCGUGCUUCAUACAUGCAAGUCGAACGAGAAUUUGGUGCUUGCACCAAAGGACAGUGGCGGACGGGUGAGUAAUGUGUAGAGAAUCUGCCCUAUAGAGGGGGAUAGCAGUUGGAAACGACUAUUAAUACCCCAUAUGCGCGUAGUUGAGAUGCUAUUCGUGGAAGAUUUAUCGCUAUAGGAUGAGUCUGCAUCUGAUUAGCUAGUUGGCGGUGUAAUGGACCACCAAGGCGACGAUCAGUAGCUGGUUUGAGAGGAUGAUCAGCCACAAUGGGACUGAGACACGGCCCAUACUCCUACGGGAGGCAGCAGUAGGGAAUUUUGCGCAAUGGGCGAAAGCCUGACGCAGCAAACCGCCGCGUGAUCGCAGACGUCUUUUCGGAGUGUAAAGAUCUGUCAGUGGGGACGAACAAUGACUGUACCCACAGAGGAAGCACCGGCUAACUCCGUGCCAGCAGCGGC